GAACGCUAGCGACAGGCCUAACACAUGCAAGUCGAGGGGCAGCACGAAUCAAGCUUGCUUGAUUUGGUGGCGACCGGCGCACGGGUGCGUAACAGGUGUGCAAUCUGUCCAUAAUCGGGGAAUAGCCCAGCGAAAGUUGGAUUAAUGCUCCAUGUGAGUGAUUGAGGCAUCUCUUUCAUUUAUCGGUAACGGAUGAGGAUGCGUACGAUUAGCUGGUUGGCGGGGUAACGGCCCACCAAGGCGACGAUCGUUAGGGGUUCUGAGAGGAAGGUCCCCCACACUGGAACUGAGACACGGUCCAGACUCCUACGGGAGGCAGCAGUGAGGAAUAUUGGUCAAUGGUCGAGAGACUGAACCAGCCAAGUAGCGUGAAGGAUGACUGCCCUACGGGUUGUAAACCUCUUUAGUCGGGGAGCAAAAAAGCGGACGUGUCCGCCAUUGAGCGUACCCGAAGAAUAAGCAUCGGCUAACUCCGUG
This 477-nucleotide ribosomal RNA is filed under the name uncultured bacterium. RNAcentral describes it as "bacterial SSU rRNA". It matches the Rfam family "Bacterial small subunit ribosomal RNA", at positions 31 to 507 of the family's 1533-position model. The record is from RNAcentral.